AAAGUUUUAGAUAUGUGUGUAAUAUUAUUUUAUUGAAAAAUGUGUGGUUGAAAUGAUAUCACAAUACUGUUGAAAAAUGCAUUUUUACCAAAGAAUGGGGAUCAAACAAGGGCUGUAUUGCAAGGUUGGGGACCAACUUAGUACUGGGACAGUACUUGGGCCAAUGAUGCAAUUUCCUUCCAAUCAACUUCGUGUCCUCUUGUGCUGAUGUUGAUCUUUGUUUGUAUUGUGAAACUAGGAGCUCAAUGCUAACAGACCGCCUACACCAACUAGGGGCCGUCCUCAAGUGACUAAUGAUAGAGGUUCUCUUGCUUGGAUUUAGAUUUUGCUCCCAGAUUGCUUUACCGUACUCCAGGCUCAUGCUAACACUAGGAAAUUUCCAGUGAUCUGUACAUAGCAUGAUUCCAUGUUGAGGAUUCUGCAGAGAUAAGUUAUUCUCUUUGUCUCACUGGAGUGCCUUCAGAAGAUAAAGAUAAAGUCGAAGAGUUUGAACAUGUUGCAGGCGGCUAGUUGUAGACUACAUUUGUUGUGCUGAAAGCAGUUCAGGAUUUCCAAAAGCUGUACAUGAUCCACAACAGGUGGAAGAUACAGUGUCAGUUCUUCCUUUGUGUGGGUAGGCUUCGUUUCUUCCAUCUUUAUAUAUUUUUCGUCCAUUCGGUAGGUGCAUUAUUGUUAUUUGCGUUGUAACUUGUAAGAGGACUUGAAGUUCGUAUACAAGGUUGGUGAGAUAGAAUCAUACUCGUCUUAUUUGUUCGUGUAUAAUAGAGGUUUUUCUGUGUAAUUUGUGUUUGUACAAUGUAAUGACCAAUAACCUUUGAAGAUAAGAAGCUGUUUCUGCUCUCCCUCGUGCCCAAACGACUGUUUGUAAUCAUUUUUUAGUGUUUUAUUUGUUGUGAACAUGCUUUAAUUGAAAAUGAC
This 918-nucleotide long non-coding RNA is filed under the name Olea europaea (common olive). RNAcentral describes it as "long non-coding RNA (OEUR_LNC004773)". The record is from RNAcentral. Lineage: Eukaryota; Viridiplantae; Streptophyta; Magnoliopsida; Lamiales; Oleaceae.